This 6088-nucleotide long non-coding RNA is filed under the name Olea europaea subsp. europaea. Lineage: Eukaryota; Viridiplantae; Streptophyta; Magnoliopsida; Lamiales; Oleaceae. The record is from RNAcentral.
UACUAACCUUCAUGAAUAGUAAGAGCAAUAUAGAUUUUACGUUUCCCUAUACAUAUCCAUCACCCAUCGGACUAAUUUGAAUAAAUGAUUUCAUUUAAAGAUGUAAAUUGUUCUUCUUGGAAAUUCAGUUUCUUAGUCGUACCCUCGUCCCCUCCCCUCCCCCCUACAGUUAUAAUCUAUUGUUUUUUUCCAUAUCAAAGUCAAUUCAUUAACAAUUUAUGCUUCUAGCAUUGAGUUUUUGCCACCAGAAAGACAGUUAACUGCUCCGAGUCAUAGGGUUCUAUAAAAGUUGAAAUUUCUUAUUUUAGCAACUGCAUUCUUUGUUCUCGACAUCCUGCACAUCCUAACAUCAAUAUAGUCUAUGGAAAUUGCCAGCUUGCAAUGAACAAGGUAAUGGAAUUUUCUUACCGGGCAACUGGAUUCUGCUGCUGAUGAAUUAAUUGUCCUAUUUUAUAAUGAAUCCUAUUUUGACCGAGAACUUCAAUAUCAGAUUAACGUUGCCUAAUGCCUCAAAAUUGCCUUUCUUGUCAAUAAGUGAACAAAUCAUUUGAGACUUGCAUAAAUUUAGGUACACUAAAUGAACUGAAAAUUAACCCACGAAAUAGCAAGAUAAGUAAACAAAAAUAUAGAAGUUGCUUACCAGUGAUUUGAAGGUAAUUACUCUAACAACGAAAAGCAAAAGCUGAACUGUGGCAAUCCCAUCUUUAAUUUGAUUUAUGAGGUUAUGGCAAUCCCAUCUUUAAUUUAUCUACUUCAUGUUUAUUUGUUUGGAUAAAUUUCCUCUAGGGAAUACAUCCGGAUACUUUUAGUGAUAAGUAGGGGGGAGCUCAAAGAGUCUGAAGAGUCUGUUAUGAGAGCAGUGGCUAAUAGAACUGAUGCGCCUCUUAAGCUUUUCAAAAUUUUCCAAGUUAUAAUAAAAAUAUUCAUUAGGUUAGUUUAUAGUUGUUAUGUACAUUUUCAUCUUUAGCAACAUAGUAGUUUCUAUAAUCACAGCGUACCCUUUAAUAAAUUCAUUUUUUGAUAUCAUAGCUAGUUUAAACAAUAUUCUUUUUUGAGCUUCAUGAAUUCUAUUUUUGUAUUGUACUAUUAUUCUCCUGUGAAUGUUGUAAAAAUAUAAUUGUUCUCCAUCAAUGCUUGCAAUAUCAAUAAUCAAUGCUAAUCAAUUUUAAUGGAAUAUCAAUCAUCUUCCUACAUGUAUUGUGUAUAGCAAUUAUAUCUCCUCCAACAUUUGAAGCUAUCUUAUCCUUUUAAAGAAGAAAUAGAUUGCUCAUUUAGGUAGUGUGUACAAAGCUUUUGACUAUGAAUGGAGUUUUUGAUUCUAAUACUUUAUGAGUUUUUCAUGCUUGAGGCACGUGUUUAUUGAACUAUAAAUGAUGUUUGUUGCCUUUUCCAGACAUGCUUGACUUCUUACUUUGUAGAGUAGAAUUACAGCUUGCUCCCAGCAAUCUUAUUCAUUAGACUGUGUUCUCAUGGAAGCAGAGUACUAGGUAUGACAUUCAGGAGACUUACUCUAUUCUACUUUCCUUUCAAUAUGAAUAUUAUGCUCUCACACAUUUGCUUGUGUUGCAAAUUACCAAGUUUAGUUCACAAUUUGAAUUGUCGUUGUUCAAUAUUUGAUAGUAUCAUAAUCGACAAAGAAUGGCUACAAUUAUCAAGGUUAUUGUCUGAAAUAAAAUCUUAUAAAUCUAGUUUCAAAAUUUAAACAAUAAUAUAAAAUGAUCAUACAAUUGUUGUUGUAGAUUUUCAGAAAAAUACAGAGAUGGAGCAUGGAAGUUUGUAGAACUAGCUCAUGAAACUCUAAAUUUAGAAAUGAUAGGAUGCCCUUGUAUCAAGUGUAGGAAUCUAAAGCAUCACAAUUAUGAAAUAGUGUAUGAACAUUUAAUUAUUAAGGGUAUGGAUCCUACAUACACUGAUUGGGUAUUUCAUGGAGAAAUACCAAGUAAAUCAAAUUUGAUCGACGUAGAAAUGCCCAAGUCAUGUAGGAUGUUUAGAGACUUCUAUAAGCAACAUGAUGUAGAUUCUGAAAAUCCUCAUGAUGGAACAGAGGAAGAUAUUCAACGUUUAGUUAGCGAUGCGGAAACCCCUUUGUAUCCUUAUUGUAUGGCGUUUACGAAGAUGUCAGUUUCAAUUGCUAUGUUUAAAUAUAAAGCUACACAUGAUUUAUCAGAUAGUAGUUUCGAUGAACUCAUAAAUCUUGUGCGGGAUAUGCUACCACAGAAUAAUACACUUCCUAACUCAUUUUAUGAGAUGAAAAAAUUUAUCAAUACAUUUAAUCUUGGCUAGGAAAAGAUACAUGAUUGCUUGAAUGAUUGUUGUCUAUAUAGGAAGGAGCUUGAACGUGCUGAAUUAUGUCCAAAAUGUGGUUGCUCAAGAUGGAAAGUUAACCAACAAACUAAGAAAGUUCAAAAAAAAAAUUUCAGCAAAAGUCUUGCAUUAUUUUCCUAUCAUACCAAGACUUAAGAAGAUGUUUGGAAUAGAAGAGAUGGCAAAACAACUUAGAUGGCACUCAAAUAAUAAUAGGUAAAAUGAGGCAUCCGAUUGACUCACUGGGGUGGGAAAUGAUAAAUAGAAGGUGGCCACAUUUUGCGUCAGAUCCUCGAAAUAUUAGAUUAGGUCUUGCUACCGGUGGAUUCAAUCCUUUCAAAGAUCUUAGCUCUAAAUAUAGUUGUUGGUCAGUUAUUUUUACUAUAUACAACUUGCCUCCCUCAUCAUGCAUGUCGAAGGAAAGUUUGAUGUUGAGUUUAUUAAUCCCGAGACCAAAAUAGCUAGGUAAUGACAUAGAUGUUUAUUUGGCAACAAUUAUAGACGAUUUAAUAUUGUUAUGGAGUGAUGGGGUUGAGAUGUAUGAUGCAGUUGCGAAGUCUACAUUUAACUUAAAAGCUAUUUUGAUGUGGACAAUACAUGACUUACCUGCAUAGGAAAAUGUAUUUGGAUGGCCCAUUAAAGGAAAAAUUGCAUGUCUUAUUUGUCGUGAACAUAUAUUUUUAGUAUGGUUGUCACAUUGUAGGAAGUUAGCAUACAUGGGACAUAGAAGAUUUCUUGCAUUGAGUCAUCCAUUUCGCAUGACAAGGAGCUGGUCUGAUGGACAUAUUGAAAAUGGCAUUAGGCCAAAGAUAAAAAUUGGUGAAGACGAUUCCAGUGAAGUUGAUAAAAUUGCAAAUGAUUGGGGCAAAAGUGGUAAGCGAAAGAGAAAGAAGAAUACGACUCAAUCCAAUGGAACGUGGAAGAAAAAGUCAAUAUUUUUCAAACUACCAUAUUGGAAGGUAACUCUAGUUAUAUCAUUUCCUUUUUUUAAUACAUCUAAUUGCGUGUAUUAUCUCAUGACAUAAGUGAUCUUUCAUUUGCAGACUUUGCUUAUACGUCAUAAUUUGAAUGUGAUGCAUGUGGAAAAGAAUAUUUGUGAGAACAUCAUUAAUGCACUUUUGAGUGUGAAAGGAAAAUCGAAAGAUGGCAUUAACUAUCGUAAGGGCUUGGAAUUUAUAAAUAUUAGACAUGAUAUAUAUCCUGAGAGUAGAGAAAAUAAAAUUUACUUACCUGCAGCUCCUCACACUUUAUCAAAAGCAGAAAAACAAAUGUUUUGCAAAAGGCUUGCUAACUUGAGAUUACCUGAUGGUUAUGGUUCUAAUAUUGGAAAUUGCAUUUUAGUGGAAGAAUGUAAGAUAGUUGGACUCAAGUCUCAUGAUUGUCACCUUUUAAUGCAACAAUUACUAUCGAUUGCAUUGAGAUGACUUCUUCCUAAAGGACGAAGAAACUCCAUUUUUAGAUUGUGUUCAUUUUUCAAUGAAAUAUAUCAAGGAGUUGUAGAUAGGAAUAAGGUUGAAAUUUUAGAAAAGGAUGUUUCUGAAACUUUGUGCAUAUUAGAAAGGUAUUUUUCGCCUUCCUUUUUCGAUAUAAUGGUUCAUUUAACAAUUCAUACUGGAAGAGAAGUUCGUCUAUGUGGAUUAGUUCAGUAUCGUUGGAUGUACCCAUUUGAGAGGUAGUACUCCUUAUUCCCAGAAAUUAAAUUCACUAUCAAAUGGAUUUCUAUUUUAUUACGUUUUUUGAAAAUAUGUAGGUAUAUGAAGGUGUUGAAAUGAUACGUUAUGAAUUGUGCAAGACCUGAAGGGUGUAUAGCUGAACGAUAUAUUGUUGAAGAAAAUGCGAUGUUUUGUAGCAAAUACAUAAAACAAGCAUCUGAAAUAGGCUCUAAGCCUACAUGCAAUGAAGAGUAUGAGAGUGACUCUUAGUUGUAGGGAGUCCAAUUUCUAAAGAGAAGCCACUUGUACUAUCUGAUGAGAUGCUGAAAGUUGCCCAUCGUUAUGUAUUGCUAAAUAGUGUAGAAGUGGCUCCAUAAGUACAUUAUGUUUGUGAAGUAUAUACUUUUUUGAGAUUUUAAGUUCUUUGUGAUUUCUUGAUAUAUUAUUUUUUACUUAGGAUGCAUAUGGAUGAAAUCAAGAGUUCUGACAAAUGAUUUGGAAGAAAUGAGAAUUUGUUGCAUAAGAAACAUAUUGACACAUUUACUACCUGGCUGCACAAUAAGGUUGAAGUACAUAUAUCGACAAGAUUAGUAUUUAAUUCUGUUGUUUAUUCUUUUAUUCCUGACAUGUUUAUAAUAAUAACAUAUUACAGGCCAAUUGUUGCUGGACAAUAUUUCAAAUACUUUGAAGUAGCUUGCAUGUGGCCCUAGAUGUCAGUCCAUGUCAUAUUCUAGUUUUGUAAUAAAUGGAUUUCGAUUUUACACUAAAGAUGCUGAAAACUCUCACCAAAACAGUGACAUCUUAGUUGAAGCAACAACCAUAUGUAGAUCUAGUGCAAAAUAUAAUGCACAUGAUGUUAGGAAAGUUUUUUAUUAUGGAGUUUUACGCUAUAUUAUAAUGCUUGACUACAAUACAUUUCAUAUUCCAAUAUUCAAGUGUGAUUGGGCAAAUAUUGUGAAUGGAAUAGAGAAGAAAAAUGGAUUCACUUUUCACAAGGGACAGGGACAAUUUGAAAAUGAUCCUUUCAUUUUGGCAUCAUAGGCGAAACAAGUUUUUUAUUCUACGGAGAACAAAACAUCUAAUUGGUAUGUUGUUUUGCAAGCAUCACCAAGAGACUUUCACGCAUUACAUAUGGAAUGCUAUACUUCUUAUGGGGCAACUAUUCCAUUAGAUGUAACACAACUUGAAAACAAUCAUGAGGAGGAUGAGAAUUUUGCAAGGAUAGAUGUUGAAGACAUAUUAUGUGAUAUAUAAAUUGAUUAGUUUGGUAAAUGUCAUUAUAUAUAUAAUUGUUUAAAUUACAAGUAGUCGAACUUUGAAUCUCAUUCUCUUUCUCUUAUUGUUUGAAGCUUCAUACUCUCUUAAGUAGAUUUUUUGGAACCAGGUGAUAUUAUUAAAUAUACGCAUGAUGGAUAAAGCUAAGGUGAGUGCGUUUCAAUACACUUUUUAAGAUGGUAUCACAAUUUUCUUCUUUAAGUCAAAUAAGCAAGCUUCCAAGAGUUCUAAAAGACGAAGCGCUGCGAUUGCUAUUGCAAUUUGAGAAACAAAUAAGAUACUACAACCUUCUAGUGAACCUACAUAUACCAUGUCUACUCCAAUUACUGGUGAUCAAAACAUGGCUUCGACAAGUGUAGAUGCUAAAAAAAAAAGAAAAGAGGUCCAACUGAUUUGAAAAUGGUUGCUGAAAAUAACUAUAAGAAGAUGGAGCUUGAAUUCAAUCAAUUCAGGCAAGUAGUUGGCCGUAACUCUGAUAAAUUUGUCUGCAUAGCCGAAGCUAUAGUACGGGAAUAUGUGCCAGUUGUUAUUAAAAAUUGGCCUUUAGUGGAUGACAAGAAGAAAAUUGAACUUUGAAAUUUUAUACAGGUACAUUUAUUUAAUAUGAUACUUUUUUAAUUAUUCGUUAUACAUUUUUCGUUUAAAGCUUCACUGCCAUUUUCGUUCAAAGCUUGACACCAUUUUUUAUAUUUAUGAUAAAUAUAGCAAAGAUUCAAUGUUAGUGACUGCCAUAAAAAAAUGACAUUUCAAUGUAUGGGAACAUAUUGGAGGACAUUCAAAUCAAGAUUGAGAAAAGAAAUCAAACAUCAAGUACCAUCUACUGUGAAUAGAAAAUGCGCUAUUGCCCUUCUUAGACC